UAUAUAUUUUCUUUUAUUAUAUCAAAUAUACAUAUUAUAUAAUUAUUAUAUAAAAAUGAUACAACGUGUUGUUUUAAAGGAAACAUUCCUCAAAGGGUUAAAAUAAUAAAUUUUAUAUUACAAUUCGAAAUAUAAUUACUUCGAUAAUGAUGCGUACACAGUUUCUCAUGGAAGUAUUCGUAUACUUGCAGGAAUUUUUUGUGAAUGUAUCACCUGUGUUGUAUAAAAUAUUUAGUGAUUUCAUCAACACUGUUGUAAUACCAUGGUUACAAGACAUUUCAUGCAACUAUAUUUUGCAGAUGUCACAAAAUUAUUUAAACAGUCAAUUAUCCAUUAUAUUAAUAAACCUCAGUAUUCAGUUGAAUCAUCUUUAACCCAUAUUGUACGCUUUAGUCAGCUGUCUACUAAUUUCUUAAUUAACAAUUUCACUAAAUAUAUGUUCCCAAUGAAUAUCUUGCGAUUUAUAUACACCUUUUUAAAUUGGUUUCAAAUUCUAUCAAUAUAAUCGUGACAGUUGUAUAUCACUACAGUGUUAAUGAAAUUUUAAGAUAUUACGUAUAACAUUAUACGCAAUGUUCUUCCUUGAUCUAUGAACAUAAUUAUACAUAAAAGUUCUCCCAAGUCUUCAUCAGCUUCACUUUCGUGAGCCACCGUGGAUUCUUUCCGAUAACGAAAGAUGGAAAAAAAGAUAAAAGGAUGCGCAGGUUUUCUUCCGGAAAAAGAACAAACGAAAUUCGGUCGCCAAAGCGCAAAGCUCUAAGUGACUUUUGCCAAAGACAUUCUGUCCUUUCGGGGGGAUUUUAUUGUCCUUCACAUACUUGACGUCCUUCGCAAAGUUCCUUCGUGUUAUAUUAUAUGUAUCGGCAAAGCUCUUUGGUAGACGUUUCUCCCGUUGAAAUUUCCAAAGAAGGAAUCCGCAGGAACGUGUUCUUUUUCUCUGCAAAUGUAGUUGGCUGAAGAAGAAGAAAAAGAAAAAGAAAAAAAAGAAAGAAGAAAAUACGGUUGACCAUAUUGAUGUUCGAAAAGAGAAGUUUAUGAAAGAUUUCAAAGCUCCUUUCGUCUAUAUGAAAAGAAAAAUAUAAACGUCUCUUCUCUAUUUUCCACGAUGGGUACGAGUCUCUUAUUAAAACUAAUACCGUUUGAAAAAAAAGGAAGGCAUUAUUUUAUACAUCGAUGAUAAUGGUAGCAAUUUACGAACGUUUUGCCGUUUCAAUGAUUUUUUUUUUUUUUUUAUUAACUUUUGGAUGACGAAAGCUGGAUUAACUCUGAUUUUAUUUCACGUUUGUUAUAUUUUAAAUUACAAGGCUAUUUCUAUUGGGACACUUGCCAAUAUUUAGAGAACUUAAUAUAUAGCUUAAAUAUCUUCAUUGAUUUUAGAUGCUAGUUAAUGUUUAGUUAAUAUAACAUUAAUAUUAAUGCUAGUAGUAAUUGUUAAUUGGAAGUGGAUGAAAAUACUUGAAUUAAAUGAUGUUAAGUGUGUUAGAAUCAUAUAGCGAUUGAAAUGUGUAUGUUUAAUCAUAUUCUCUAUAGAGAAAUUUGUACGAGCAAAUUUCAAAUUUUUGGUAGUUUUGGCAGGAGAUAGAGAAAUUAACAGUAGAGAUCCUCUAUAAUAUAAAUUACAAUAUAAUAUUAGUCUUUUGAUCGAAUUGUACCAAGUGUCCAAAUACUUAAUAGAUCAAUUCAAUUUAAUUAUAAUUUAAUUUCACAUAUUGUUAUCACAUCUGUAUGAACAAUUUCGUACUUUUCAUACUAAAUUUGACGUACGGAGGGCCUUUUCAGUUUGUCACACAAUUACAUAUUCGACGCCGGUGAUUAAUAAUCCAGCUUCCAUUAGACGAGAUUUGAAAAGAAAAUUCGUCCCGAACUCGCACCGAAUGACUUCCAAUAAACUUUCCGUCUAUCCUUUCAUCGAGCUUAUACGGUUAAGGAGAAAGAAAAAAGAAAAAGACAAACGAUCGAAAUGAUCGAUAUUGUUUAACGACAGAGCAAGAACAAGAAUGGAAACGAAAGAAUAAAAGAAGCCAAAAAGAAAAAAAAAAGAAGAAGUUAAAGUCGUUAUAUUUUUACAUCUGUGAGAAAGUUGAUCGAGAACAAUUUGAUAUAAAUUUAGAGAGAGAGAGAGAGAGAGAGAGAGUGAAAGAGAGAGAGAGAGAGAGAGAGAGAGAGUGAAAGAGAGAGAGAGAGAGAGAGAGAAUGGAAGAAAAGUCCUGUAAAGAGGAUUAUUAAAGAACAAUAAACAUCGGAGUCUACCUGCCGGGCAGGGCAAACGAGAAAAAAAAAAAAAAAAAAGAAACGCGAUAUUGGAAAUGAAACUGGCAGGCAGAUUUGCUCAAGGCUUCCAUAAAAGCUCUCGAUUGCGUCCCAUAUUCUGGCUGACUUCCUGGCAGUGGUGUGUCCGUGUUUGGCUUAGAUUGUAUUAAUAUGAACGUUAGGAUGUAAAAUGUGAAAAAAAAAAACGCUCGAGUGCCGAGUAAUACUAUAGUCUGUAAUGGCGUAGACUAAGUGAUUUAACCGACUUGCGUAACUUGCGCUGGAAUUAUUGUCGACCAGAGAGAAAGAGAGAGAGAGUGAGAGCGUGAGAGAGAGAGAGAGAGAGAGAGAGAAAGCGAGCGCAAGAGAGAGAUACACGGGAUUAACCCUUUAUAUCUGGAAUUAAGUAUCACUAUUAUUUUUGCGUCAUUAAAUGAUUUUCCACAUAUUGCAAAUAUAGGAAAAAAGAAAAGAAACUUUUUAGAUAAUCUAGUGUACACUUAGAGCCUUCUUUAUGCGAACGUCUAUUUAUCGAACAUCUUAAUUCAUUAAGAACCGAUCAAUAGUAGUUUAUCAUAGUGUUAACGAUAUCGAAAUUCCUUUCAAUUUUAUAUAUAUUUGUAGUGCCUGGCUAGGGAUAAGAUAAGAUAUUAAACGAAUUUUUGGAAUUCGAUUUACAUAACAAUAAUAAAUAUUAAAAAAGCAGACUCGGUAGUAAAAAAUAAUUGGAGAAAUGAAACAUUGCGUUUCAACGUAAUAUUGGCCCUUAAUGAGUUAAUAUUCGAACGUUACAUUGUCAGAGUAGAACGUUCGUUUCUGUUCUGGUAACAUAAUAUUCAAAUAUUGAGGCAUACGAAAAACGAACAUUCACAUAAGGGAGGAACUUCACUGUAUUAUGUUCAAGAUGAUGAAAACCAGGGAAACAAGUAUAAACGUAUAAAUAUCCUGCAAUUACGCCAUUUUCCAGCGAUUCACAAAUCAAAUGUUCAUUUUGCACGUCUUUUCGAGUACCACGAGGAGACGUUGUACUCACGUUUGAAGUGACAUAAGGGUUUAUAUAAAGUGGUACCAUCAGAAUAUAAAGGGUUAAGGAUGGGUACGAGCUUUUACGUCUUCGAGGACGUUCGUGUGUUUCUUGCACCUUAACAGGGUCCACAUUUAGUCAAAAAGAAAAAAAAAAAAAAAAAGAAAGAAAGAAAAAAAAGAAAAAAGUCGAGGAGAUAUCGAUUUUUCAUCCGUUCUUUUUCUACUGAUUCCAUUUGCCAUCACUUCACGUUAGAGUGUCUUUCAAUGGCGAAGAAAUCGAUUGUUCCGUUCGAAUGGUAUAUCUCGAGAGUGGCAUUCUCUUUGCGUUUUGAGGUUCUUUAAAUAUGGCAAAAUCUUGACCAUCAGAACGCCGACUAAUGGUACGAUUCGUUUUAUGUUCUUUUGUAAUAUUCAAAUUUUAUAUUGAAGUUUAAAAAAUUUCUAUAAACUUUUUAUAAAUUUCUACAUAUUAAAGAAUAAGUUAAUUUUGACCGCGUGAUUAUGGAUUUUUAUGCAAAUCCAUAGUCUCGAGAACAUAAUUAAAUGUCCUAUUACGCGGAUAAUUUAUAUAUUUUUCAUAUUACGUGCAUUUUCUGUAAUUUUAAUUUUGUAAAAAUUAAUUUUCUACAAAUACGUGAAAAUCCAUAGUUUGAUUAUUACAUUGAAAUAUGGAAAUUGUUUCUUGAAUAAGAACCACGUUUUGGUUUCGUAUUAAUCUGUAUGAAAUAAGUGAACAUUCUUUCGUACAAAAAAAUAUUCAAGUAUGUCACGAUUAGUUCGAAUAAUUAACACUAUAAGUAACAAAUUAAUUGAAAUCGUUUUUUUUAUCUUACUAAUUUUAAUUAAGAAACACGAUUGCGUGAUUAGUUGACUGUAUUACUCUAAUCAACAUAUUAAAGAUCGGCAGUUCUAACGUUAAUGUUCUACGUCGUCUUAUAAAAUUUUUGAACGAAGCAGUGAACCAUUUCGAUGCCAAAAAUAAUUCAGAUAUAAUAUACUAGAAAUAUUGAUAUCCAAUUUUAGUAAAAUCGCUAGCCUUAGGUAUAGAACUAUAACGACUGUAUUCCCUAGAGAAUAGAUAGUGGCAUAUGUAGCUACUUUUAUAGAGUUAGCCUACCAGUGAAAUUAAAACAGUGAUUCAUAGCUAGAAGUUAUAAAAAUUUCUCGUUCCGUUAGCUUUGCUAUAUCUUUAUAGAACAAUGUUUAUAAGUACGUAUAUAUACCUCAUGAAAAUAUGGUCUACGAUUACUGAACUCGUCUUACGGUUAGAUAUUUCAGUGGCAUCGUUAUGGUUGACAAAGUCUUAAAAAGCAAACAUUGAAAAAUGAUACAAGUCCGACGUUGAACUUGAAGUUAUUUUUAUAAGGAUUUUUAUUUCGACAAGAACAUGAUUCGAAAUCAAACUCAAUUGAAUAUCGCAGGGAGAGAACAUCGAGUAACUUUCAUCUGUUAAGGAUUUAUAAAAUAUAAAAUUACAUGGCGUUGAUGAUCAAUAAUCACUGAAAAUCACAUGAACGUCAUCGAUCACAAAGCGCUGAAAAUCACAUAACGCUGAAGUAAUAUCUCAGCAAUCGUGCCUAAACAUUUUAAUAUUUCAAGACCAAAGAAGAAAAAAAAGAAAAAAAAUACACGUUAGACGAAGAAGUAAAAAAAUUAAACUUAAAACUGACACUUAAAUAAUCAAAAAUAUCAAAAGUUGACACGGAAGAAUUAAAUUUAAAAAUUUCUCCUCUAUACUUCGUGACAUGCUUCUUUACAAGAAAAAUUCAAAAAAUUAAAAAAAAAGCGAUUUAUCAUGUUCUCUCUCUGCCGUACAUUCUACAACCUUGCUUCACAGUUACGUACAUACAUUCUUCGUCAUUGACAGACAUUUAGAACCAAAAAGAACACACCUUUUAGUCCGACGGCGUGCUCGUGCAUGGACCCGAAGUCAUUGUAAAUAGUGUAAAUGCACAUUAGUGUAAAACGCUAUCAUAAAGACAAAAAAAAAAAGAAAAAAAUAAGAGGAGAAGGAAGAAGAAGAAGAAGAAGAAGAAGAAGAAGAAGAAGAAGAGAAGAGGCCGGACGUUCUGCCGGAACGUCGAAGAAUUUAUCGAACGAUUUAUAUUUCCGAACAACUUAUGGUAUAUUUUCUCCGUAGACGUGUACGCGUACCUAGCGUUUUAAAUGUAAGACGAACCUUGUGUAAUCGUAGAACGGGAUUCGAUCGAGGAUCGAACGACCCCGUAAAAUUCGUAGUGAAUUUGUGACUUUUUUCCCCUCCCCCCUCCUCCCAGUUCACCGCCCUCCCCCAUUCUUCCAUGUUUAUUAUUCUUAUAAUUACGAAGUUAAUCAGACAGGAGUGUCAGUCGUGUUAAUUAGACGAUAUCGAUAGUAGUUAUUAAGUAGAUGUUCAUCGAUACUUAUUUACCGUGGCGAGGAAACGUGUAACGACAGAAUGUUCCAGGAUUCCACGAGUUUCGUGGGCCACUGGUGUUUGAACGUUAUUGAAACUAUAAAGAACCGGGACAUUACCCGCAUUAGAGAUUCUUUUUGUAACAUAAAGUGAAAUAUAAUCAUUUGUAACACGA
Long non-coding RNA from Frieseomelitta varia, 5846 nucleotides. RefSeq lists it as uncharacterized. The record is from RefSeq and is a predicted model, not a curated record. Lineage: Eukaryota; Metazoa; Arthropoda; Insecta; Hymenoptera; Apidae. The transcript is spliced from 2 exons.